RNAcentral lists this ribosomal RNA (421 nucleotides) under uncultured prokaryote. RNAcentral describes it as "bacterial SSU rRNA". It matches the Rfam family "Bacterial small subunit ribosomal RNA", at positions 11 to 429 of the family's 1533-position model. The record is from RNAcentral.
GUUUGAUCCUGGCUCAGGAUGAACGCUAGCGGCAGGCCUAACACAUGCAAGUCGAGGGGCAGCAUAUAUCUUCGGAUAUAUGGCGACCGGCGCACGGGUGAGUAACGUGUAUGCAACCUACCUUUAACAGGGGAAUAGCCCGAAGAAAUUCGGAUUAAUGCCCCAUAAUAUCAUAUAUCGGCAUCGAUAUGUGAUGAAAGCUCCGGCGGUUAAAGAUGGGCAUGCAUGACAUUAGUUAGUUGGUAAGGUAACGGCUUACCAAGACGAUGAUGUCUAGGGGGUCUGAGAGGAUGAUCCCCCACACUGGUACUGAGACACGGACCAGACUCCUACGGGAGGCAGCAGUGAGGAAUAUUGGUCAAUGGACGCAAGUCUGAACCAGCCAUGCCGCGUGCAGGAUGACAGCUCUAUGAGUUGUAAA